RNAcentral lists this ribosomal RNA (185 nucleotides) under uncultured bacterium. RNAcentral describes it as "partial 16S ribosomal RNA". The record is from RNAcentral.
CACGUAGUUAGCCGGUGCUUUUUCUGCAGUGUACCGUCACUUUCGCUUCUUCCCUACUAAAAGAGGUUUACAACCCGAAGGCCUUCGUCCCUCACGCGGCUGUUGCUGCAUCAUGGCUUUCUGCCCAUUGUGCAAUAUUCCCCACUGCUGCCUCCCUGUAGUGCCCCCCUGUGCCCCCUGCCCCA